UGCGGGUCCUUGCUCUUUCGGGAGUAGGGAUGUGCGUUGCGCUUAUCAAGUGCUGUGCGCUCUGGGGGUUGCCGGGCUGGCUUGCCAGUGCACUUUCUCGGAGUGGUCACCACGACCGGCGUUGUUGUCUUACUGCUGUAGUCGAACCGGUCAGGUUCGGUCCUUGUGGCUGAGCUUGAUCGGGAUGGCAGGUAGCUCAUUGGUUGGCUUGUCCAGUCUUUGGGUGUAAUCAGCUGUCUGCAGUGGUUUUGUGCAAUGCGUCGGGGACGGCGGCUUUAGGUAUGUGCUUUUGUGCUGUGAGUCGGCGGUAUCGAGUUUGAUUAGCGUGUUACUUGUUUCGGCAGGUCCGUUGGUAGCUCGAUAUUGUUCGGUUUGCAGUUGCAAUUGUGAUACCGUUCAUGGGCCUAUAGUCUGUGGUGUAGCAGCAAACGAUCCACCUGACCCGUCUUGAAACACGGACCAAGGAGUUUAACAUGUGCGCGAGUCAUUGGGCGUUACGAAACCCAAAGGCGCAGUGAAAGUGAAGGUUCGGCUUGUCCGGACUGAGGUGAGAUCCUGUGGCUUCUCGUGCUAGGUACCACCAAGCAAGUGAGCUAUAGGCGCAUCACCAGCCCGUCUCAUGGCGUUGUCAUAUGGCCUCGUGCUGUGUGCAUCACCGGGGCGGAGCUUGAGCGUACAUGUUGAGACCCGAAAGAUGGUG
Molecule: ribosomal RNA, 700 nt
Filed under: Cotylurus gallinulae
Lineage: Eukaryota; Metazoa; Platyhelminthes; Trematoda; Diplostomida; Strigeidae
Description: eukaryotic LSU rRNA
Rfam family: Eukaryotic large subunit ribosomal RNA
Source: RNAcentral